AUGAGGAAUUGGGUACAUCCAAACUUCCCCUGUGAUAUCUUUAUUUUAUUCCUCAGUUUAAGGUCUCUGUUAGUGGAAUAUAUUUUCUUGCAAACUGAAUUGGUUUUCUGGAACAUGUCUUCGUAUUUUUGUGUAUGUCUUGAGCACUAUUCAUUGGAUAUACUUUGUUGCUUCCAGCCCAUGGAUAAGAAUAUUUCAGUCGCUGAAGAGAUUGUUGAACAUAUGACAUUGAUGCAAAUCUCUGGCCACCUACAAGUGAAACUGCUUGAAGACCAAGUUCGAAUAUGUAUGAGCGCAGUGAAGUUCGGCAUGCAAGUCUAUUCGCAGUCUCGCACCCUAAUGUAA
RNAcentral lists this ribosomal RNA (345 nucleotides) under Triticum aestivum (bread wheat). Its description in RNAcentral is "partial small subunit ribosomal RNA". The record is from RNAcentral. Lineage: Eukaryota; Viridiplantae; Streptophyta; Magnoliopsida; Poales; Poaceae.